Molecule: ribosomal RNA, 253 nt
Filed under: uncultured bacterium
Lineage: Bacteria
Description: partial 16S ribosomal RNA
Rfam family: Bacterial small subunit ribosomal RNA
Source: RNAcentral
UACGAAGGGAGCUAGCGUUGUUCGGAAUUACUGGGCGUAAAGCGCACGUAGGCGGUCAUUUAAGACAGGGGUGAAAUCCCAGAGCUCAACUCUGGAACUGCCUUUGAUACUGGGUGUCUUGAGUAUGGAAGAGGUGAGUGGAAUUCCGAGUGUAGAGGUGAAAUUCGUAGAUAUUCGGAGGAACACCAGUGGCGAAGGCGGCUCACUGGUCCAUUACUGACGCUGAGGUGCGAAAGCGUGGGGAGCAAACAGG